Ooceraea biroi (clonal raider ant) is the source of this 2980-nucleotide long non-coding RNA. RefSeq lists it as uncharacterized. The record is from RefSeq and is a predicted model, not a curated record. Lineage: Eukaryota; Metazoa; Arthropoda; Insecta; Hymenoptera; Formicidae.
GUACAUCUUCGCGUUCUUCAUUACAGUUCACGCCUUCGUACUGUAUACAUCUUUCUGAAAAGAAGUGUUAGCUGGUUAAUCCUACGUACACAUCAGGUUUGAUAUGACGUGUUUUUGAUCAUGGAUUGUAAAAUAGUACAAAAACGUCAAGUACAUAUAGUGGUGGGUUUUAUGGAAAAAGAAUAAUAUACAUCGUUUUAACGCAAAAUUGUGAUAUCGUUCGAUUAUGGAUAAGAAUACCGUUAUUAUUUUAUUAAAAUACUUUUAUGAAAAACAGCUUCUAUAAAAAGAGUAAUAUUACGAAAUGUCUAUAACUGUGAAUAUAAAUCUUCAUACAAAACAUACGACAUGAAAUAAGUUAUCUUGAUUCAUUAAUGCAAUAUAUUUACCCAUAGACCAUAUACUACUGGACUACACAUCAGUGACGGGGGGUUGUUGCCAUAGUACAAACGAUUUCUACAAAAAUAAUAUCACAAAUGCCCGUAAUUGUGAAUGCAAGUAUUCGUACAUAAUGUAUCAUUCGAAAUAUCUUGAUUCAAAAGUUUAUAACUAUAAUCUCUUUAGUAUAUUAAAAACAACGCAAUUGGUUUGUCUCACCAUCGAACAAUGCUUCUUCAACUUCAGUCUUCUGUGUCUUUUCUUCGUACGAUCACCUUUAUUAUAUUUUAUGUUUAUAAAUUAAUGCAAAACCUUGGCACUGUUGCUGGAUUUCAAAAUAUGAGACAUCAGUGUCAACUUUAAAAUUAUAUGAUUUAUAUGAAUUUAUACAAUUCAUGGUUAUCAUAGUUAUAUUAUAUCACAUGUACUUGACAUUUCCAACCAGUACAUCUCCAUGUUCUUCAUUUUAUUCCACAUAUUCCUAGGAUAUAAUUGUUUUCUAGAACGAGAAUUGCUUUCUUGAUCUUACAAUGGCACAUAUAAUCUAUCUGCAAUUUUUAUUUUUGUUACAUAUAACUGCAUUAAGAAAUUUUAGUUUUUAAUCAAACAUGCAUGUUUUUAAAUAUAUGUAUUUAUCUGUUGUAUACUGUGAUAUCUUACAAUAGGACAAUUUUCUAAUCAUAUUCUAAUAAUGAUCAUUUUUAUUAAAUGACGAUUAUAGAUGUUUCUGUGAUAGCAGAUUCCACGAACAUAUCUCAGUUUGUAAGAUAUUAAAUGUAAAUUAAGCAAUUACUUUUAUAUAUACAAAUAUAGAAACCUAAUAUACAAGUUCACACGCGUGCACGCUACACAUGCACAGCACAUUUUACUUGCUCAAGUAUUAUUCUAAUUAUUUUCUAUAAUUGUACAUAAACUGUUUUAUAUAAACAUAUUAUAAUGUUACUUAAUAUGUAAAUAUUGAACUCAUAGUAAAUUGAUAUUUUUAUGCAACAAGUUAUUUGAAAACGAGACACAUGUUGCCUUAUCUUUAAGUUUACUCACUUACUUUCACUAUACUAUCAGAUGAUUGAUAUUGGUAUCACUUCUGCACAGAAUAUAUAACAGUAAAGUAAGAUACCGAUGCAGUACACAACUGUAACGAAAACAUUAAUUUGGCUUCCAAAAUAUGUUAUGUUAUACAUGUGUCACACAUAUUGAUGUCUAAUACACCUUUACCGAAGCAAAGCCCUCUAAAGAUGCUAUAAAAAGUCCACCUGUUUUGAGGCCGUACAUCUUACAGCUUCUUUGCAACAGGAACAAUAUCAAUUUCUGUACGCGUAUGGGAGCCAUAUACCACUGAACGUUGUAUCUGUAAAGUAACAAUUAGUCAAUAAGAUCAUUUGAAAUGCGAAAUACAUGAUUAAGCUAAAACAUUGAAGUUCAUAUUUACAGGUUAUGUAAAUAAUUAUUAAUUUCAACAUCAUGUUUGUUAUUCUAAUCUGAUGUGUUAAGACAUUCUAUAAUAUUAUUGAUAUAGUAAGAAGUAAUGACAAAUUAAGUCAAAUGUUUAUGUCAAAUAUCUUACGCAGUAGAAAACAUGUUGUUGUAGUGCUCUAUAAUUUCUUCACCGGAAGUAUUGGCUAGGAACGAAUAUAGAAGCACAGCAGAUGCAAAUAUAAGGUGUAAUAGAAAUUCCUCUACUUUAUCUCGAAGCAGUGCAGUUUCAAGUACCUAGAACAAUAUAAUUUUCACAUUGUGCCUGCGUGCGUGUGCGUAUGUGCGUGCGCGCGUGUGUGUGUUGUGUUAGCGAGAGAAGAGGAAAGAAACGUGCGUGUCUUAAAAUAUUUUUCACCUAAGUUAGAUAUGUAUAUCAUAAUAGAUAUACGUAAAAUGGAAAAUACGUAAAAUGUUUCUCCUAUUAAAUACUUUUGAUUCUGUAGUAAAACUUGGUGGAUCAUUGAUAAUAUGAUGAAUUGCAUUUCGUAUAUGCAUGUAUAAUUAUUUUCAAUAUUUGUUUUAUUUGCUUUCUAUUUCUAUUUUUGUGCAUCAGUGGUUCCAUUACAUAUCCUGUUGAAUUGCUCAUACAAGAAUGCAUAAAACUGCAAACCUUUGUUAAAGAACUUACUUCAUAUAGAUUAAAGCAUAAACAAAGUACGGCUACUACCAUUAGACAAAAGUAUGUUCCAUUAAAACUAGACGUAAAUAAGUCAGACAACCUUAAAGAAUAUGAGAGCAAUUUAUUUCACAUGUACAACAACUAUUUAAAACAUGGGAAAUAUAUAGGUGUUUCAAAAUUACGUGUAAUAAUUAUGGUAUUCCGACAUAUCUGAGAGCGGAAAUUUUAGGUAUGGUAUUAGUAAACUUCAAUCAUUCACUUCUAAACUUUGUACAUAUUAUAUCCUCGACAUUUUUGUUCUAAAAUUUUUGUCUUAGAAAGCUCAUCUGCGCUAGUGUUUUCGGAUCAUCGUACAUGUGUAGCAGAAACGCACUCAAUGGCUGUACGAUGAACAUCCACUGCAAGACGUAUCUUCUUCUCGAUCAUCUUGUUCCUCAGAUCAGUGUUUUCAUAAAUAUUUAAUAUCAUUGAUUGUUCUAUACGGUAACUACAAAUAAAUUUAUUACU